This 379-nucleotide ribosomal RNA is filed under the name uncultured eukaryote. RNAcentral's name for it is "SSU rRNA". It matches the Rfam family "Eukaryotic small subunit ribosomal RNA", at positions 587 to 969 of the family's 1831-position model. The record is from RNAcentral.
AGCUCCAAUAGCGUAUAUUAAAGUUGUUGCAGUUAAAAAGCUCGUAGUUGGAUUUCUGGCAGGAGUGACCGACCACACACACUGUGUGUGAGUUGCGUCAUUCUGGCCAUCCUUGGUGAGAUCCUAUUUGGCAUUAAGUUGUUGGGUAGGGGAUAACCAUCGUUUACUGUGAAAAAAUUAGAGUGUUUAAAGCAGGCUUAUGCCGUUGAAUAUAUUAGCAUGGAAUAAUAAGAUAGGACUUUGAGUCUAUUUUGUUGGUUUGCGAGUCAAAGUAAUGAUUAAUAGGGACAGUUGGGGGUAUUCGUAUUUCAUUGUCAGAGGUGAAAUUCUUGGAUUUCUGAAAGACGAACUACUGCGAAAGCAUUUACCAAGGAUGUUU